GAUGAACGCUGGCGGCGUGCCUAAUACAUGCAAGUCGAGCGAACGGACGAGAAGCUUGCUUUUCUGAUGUUAGCGGCGGACGGGUGAGUAACACGUGGAUAACCUACCUAUAAGACUGGGAUAACUUCGGGAAACCGGAGCUAAUACCGGAUAAUAUUUUGAACCGCAUGGUUCAAAAGUGAAAGACGGUCUUGCUGUCACUUAUAGAUGGAUCCGCGCUGCAUUAGCUAGUUGGUAAGGUAACGGCUUACCAAGGCAACGAUGCAUAGCCGACCUGAGAGGGUGAUCGGCCACACUGGAACUGAGACACGGUCCAGACUCCUACGGGAGGCAGCAGUAGGGAAUCUUCCGCAAUGGGCGAAAGCCUGACGGAGCAACGCCGCGUGAGUGAUGAAGGUCUUCGGAUCGUAAAACUCUGAUAUUAGGGAAGAACAUAUGUGUAAGUAACUGUGCACAUCUUGACGGUACCUAAUCAGAAAGCCACGGCUAACUACGCG
RNAcentral lists this ribosomal RNA (497 nucleotides) under uncultured bacterium. Its description in RNAcentral is "partial 16S ribosomal RNA". It matches the Rfam family "Bacterial small subunit ribosomal RNA", at positions 28 to 507 of the family's 1533-position model. The record is from RNAcentral.